GAACAUAUGCUUAGUGGUUAGAGCACUUGCACUGUUUCCAAGAGGUGCGGGUUCAAAUCCCUUUAUAUAUC
RNAcentral lists this transfer RNA (71 nucleotides) under Heliconius melpomene (postman butterfly). RNAcentral describes it as "tRNA HMEL017599". The record is from RNAcentral. Lineage: Eukaryota; Metazoa; Arthropoda; Insecta; Lepidoptera; Nymphalidae.